GAUGAAGAACGUAGCGAAAUGCGAUACUUGGUGUGAAUUGCAGAAUCCCGUGAACCAUCGAGUCUUUGAACGCAAGUUGCGCCCGAAGCCACUAGGCCGAGGGCACGCCUGCCUGGGCGUCACACGCCGUUGCCGCCCCAUCUACUCCUUCGGGAUUGCGGGGGGGCGGAUGAUGGCCUCCCGUGCGCCUAGCCGCGCGGUUGGCAUAAAUACCAAGUCCUCGGCGACGCACGCCACGACAAUCGGUGGUUGCGAAACCUCGGUUGCCCGUCGUGUGCGUUCGUCGCGCAUCGAGGGCUCGAAAAAAUGCUCGGCUCCGGCUGGGCUUUCAACGCGACCCCAGGUCAGGCGGGGUUACCCGCUGAAUUUAAGCAUAUCAAUAAGCGGAGGA
This 391-nucleotide unclassified non-coding RNA is filed under the name soil metagenome. RNAcentral describes it as "partial contains 5.8S ribosomal RNA, internal transcribed spacer 2, and large subunit ribosomal RNA". The stretch from base 1 to 122 matches the Rfam family "5.8S ribosomal RNA", at positions 35 to 154 of the family's 154-position model. The record is from RNAcentral.